RNAcentral lists this ribosomal RNA (506 nucleotides) under uncultured bacterium. RNAcentral describes it as "partial 16S ribosomal RNA". It matches the Rfam family "Bacterial small subunit ribosomal RNA", at positions 29 to 523 of the family's 1533-position model. The record is from RNAcentral.
AUUGAACGCUGGCGGCAGGCCUAACACAUGCAAGUCGGACGGUAGCACAGAGGAGCUUGCUCCUCGGGUGACGAGUGGCGGACGGGUGAGUAAUGUCUGGGGAUCUGCCCGAUAGAGGGGGAUAACCACUGGAAACGGUGGCUAAUACCGCAUAACGUCGCAAGACCAAAGAGGGGGACCUUCGGGCCUCUCACUAUCGGAUGAACCCAGAUGGGAUUAGCUAGUAGGCGGGGUAAUGGCCCACCUAGGCGACGAUCCCUAGCUGGUCUGCGAGGAUGACCAGCCACACUGGAACUGAGACACGGUCCAGACUCCUACGGGAGGCAGCAGUGGGGAAUAUUGCACAAUGGGCGCAAGCCUGAUGCAGCCAGGCCGCGUGUAUGAAGAAGGCCUUCGGGUUGUAAAGUACUUUCAGCGGGGAGGAAGGCGGUGAGGUUAAUAACCUUGCCGAUUGACGUUACCCGCAGAAGAAGCACCGGCUAACUCCGUGCCAGCCGCCGCGGUAA